This 577-nucleotide ribosomal RNA is filed under the name uncultured bacterium. RNAcentral describes it as "bacterial SSU rRNA". It matches the Rfam family "Bacterial small subunit ribosomal RNA", at positions 338 to 916 of the family's 1533-position model. The record is from RNAcentral.
CCUACGGGAGGCAGCAGUAAGGAAUAUUGGUCAAUGGACGCAAGUCUGAACCAGCCAUGCCGCGUGAAGGAUUAAGGCCCUCUGGGUUGUAAACUUCUUUUAUAGGGGACGAAAAAAGGGCAUUCUUGCUCACUUGACGGUACCCUAGGAAUAAGCACCGGCUAACUCCGUGCCAGCAGCCGCGGUAAUACGGAGGGUGCAAGCGUUAUCCGGAUUUACUGGGUUUAAAGGGUGCGUAGGUGGGUUGGUAAGUCAGUGGUGAAAUCUUCGAGCUUAACUCGGAAACUGCCAUUGAUACUAUCAAUCUUGAAUCAUCUAGAGGUAAGCGGAAUAUGUCAUGUAGCGGUGAAAUGCUUAGAUAUGACAUAGAACACCAAUUGCGAAGGCAGCUUACUAUGGAUGUAUUGACACUGAGGCACGAAAGCGUGGGGAUCAAACAGGAUUAGAUACCCUGGUAGUCCACGCCCUAAACGAUGGAUACUCGACAUUUGUGAUAUACUAUAAGUGUCUGAGCGAAAGCAUUAAGUAUCCACCUGGAAGUACGACCGCAAGGUUGAAACUUAAAUGAAAUUGACGG